AAGUCGUAACAAGGUUUCCGUAGGUGAACCUGCGGAAGGAUCAUUAGAAAUCACCGGCCUAGCCGGUAUAAAAUUCUAAUACCUUGUGUGCAAUCAAUGGAAAAAAGGAGAGAAAAUUGGAUGCUUUUUGUAUCCUUACCUCUCUAAAAAAAUUUAUAAACUCCAUCAAAUUUUGAAUAAAACUAAUUUUUUUAAUAAAAUAUAUUUAUACAACUUUCAACAACGGAUCUCUUGGCUCUC
This 240-nucleotide unclassified non-coding RNA is filed under the name fungal sp. RNAcentral describes it as "partial internal transcribed spacer region". The stretch from base 1 to 46 matches the Rfam family "Eukaryotic small subunit ribosomal RNA", at positions 1786 to 1831 of the family's 1831-position model. The record is from RNAcentral. Lineage: Eukaryota; Fungi.